This 424-nucleotide long non-coding RNA is filed under the name Medicago truncatula (barrel medic). Its description in RNAcentral is "long non-coding RNA (MTRU_LNC001414)". The record is from RNAcentral. Lineage: Eukaryota; Viridiplantae; Streptophyta; Magnoliopsida; Fabales; Fabaceae.
CACAAACUAAACCUAAUCUUCAAAUUCCCAAAUCGAAAUCAAAAACCCAAUUCUAAAAACUUAAAUUUUUUCCUCUAUAAUACCCACUCACAUCAAUCCAGUUACAUAAAUCUCAACAAUUGAAUCUAAAAAACUCUUCAUUACAUAAAAUUCAUCAAAUUAAGAGACCCCAAUUGCCUUAAUACAGUUAAAUGAAUAACCCAAUUCUAAAAAAUUAAACUUUUUCCUCUAUAGAAGCCACUCACAUCGACCCAGUUGCAUAAAUCUCAAUAAUCAAAUCUAAAAAACUCUUCAUUACAUAAAAUUCAUCAAAUUAAGAGACCCCAAUUGCUUAAAACAGUUAAAAAAAAUCCCAAAUCAAGGUUGUUGCGUUUAACCCCAAAACGCAAACAAUGGUUCACGCUCUUUCAGAUCUGGAUUCUUC